Long non-coding RNA from Clupea harengus (Atlantic herring), 1124 nucleotides. Lineage: Eukaryota; Metazoa; Chordata; Actinopteri; Clupeiformes; Clupeidae. The record is from Ensembl.
CUACUACUAUCAGCAAUAGAGCAUUAAUCUAGCCCAUAUGUACGCACACACACACACACAUAUACUGAGACAUGGCUUUAUAGCCACACAUCUGCACACACACACACACACAUACACACACAGCAGCCAUUCUGUGUUUGAAAUGCAAUAUUAUGCCAGAAGCAGGGAUCGUCACAGUGCUGCUGCUGCUGAACAUAUCCUCACGUCCUCAUCAAUUCUUGACGUGUUCUCAAUGAGCAGGCAGCUUUUUAACACAAACCGUACCUCGGCACAUUUGAAAUCAACUAUCAGUUUUGUACUUUUUCCUUUGUGUGUGUGAGAGGAUUUUAUCACUUAAGGCCGCGGUUUGUUAGGCCUACGGGACAGAUCAGUGACUCAUUUUAUCAGUGUGUGUUGGGCCGUGUGCUCCCGGUUGGUGCUGGGCCAGAGCUGGGCCAGAGCUGGGCCAGAGCUGGGCCGAGUCCGGAGCCCGCGGCUAACGGCACCUCUUCUCUCAGGGCGGCCACCAGCGGCCGAGGACUCCUGUGUCGGACGCGCUCUCAUCUCAUGGAGUUUUAAAAAAAGGGACAGGGACUCCUGCAAGAGUCACGUUCUUCUCUUUUGACUUGUUGUUGUUGUUUUUGUUAUUGUUGUUGUUGUUUUUGUUAUGGUUUAAGUCGUGCAUUGUUUCUCGCUGGACUUUAUACAUCAUCAUUCCUUGCUACGUUGGAUUCUUUUCGGAUAGGUACACAUUUCAGUGUCAACGCUUAUUUAAAAUAACACUUGUCUCCUACCUCAUCUAACAUUCAGUAAUAAGAGGGAACCACAGGGGUUAGCAUAAGCCAUGGAGCAGUUAGCAUAGGCCAUGAAGGAGUUAGCAUAGGCCAUGGAGGAGUUAGCAUAGGCCAUGGAGGGGUUAGCAUAGGCCAUGGAGGAUCGCAACAGCAGGGGUUAGCAUACGCCAUGGAGGGGUUAGCAUAGGCCAUUGAGGAUCGCAACAGCAGGGGUUAGCAUACGCCAUGGAGGUUCGCUACAGCAGGGGUUAGCAGAGGCUGCUCUGAGGGUACUGAUGACAUGGCUGCUGGUGUCGUAUGAAGCAGUGCCGAGUGCGUUUAGUUUUGGCCGAUUUCAGUAUUCGUUCAGGU